Molecule: long non-coding RNA, 1362 nt
Organism: Alligator mississippiensis (American alligator)
Lineage: Eukaryota; Metazoa; Chordata; Crocodylia; Alligatoridae
Exons: 6
Source: RefSeq, a predicted model, not a curated record
CAGCAGGAAAGUGCAGGCCAGCCUUGAUGAGGCAGCCAUUUUAGGCCCUUGCUCUCAGGGCUGGGGCAGCAGUCUGCUGCUGGCAGCCAGAGCAACAAUACCCAGCUGAGCCCCUGCUCCUGGAACAUCUUGGAGGUCCCCGGAGUGGUUCUCUUCAUUCCCCAGUAUUGAACUCACCGGUCGAUCAAGCCUUUCCAUCGGAUUAAAUUCCUGCUGGGUCUUGGCCGGUUUGAACAGGUCUUUGAUCUGCCUCAGCCCAGCUGACUCCUCCAGGCGUUUUGAGUGCGGCAUCUGAUGUCUCUGGGUUUGCCAUGCCUUCUCCUGCUCCUCAGGGAUGUGGUGAGGCUACCUGUCUGCAGUCUUUUGGGACUGGCGUUGUGCUGGAGGAGAGUACCAACAUCAGCAGCUUCUCCUGAGUGGGAAACCAUCAGCAUGUCACAGCAGUGAGGAGACUGCUCCAUGGUCCUGGAUGAUGGGGACUCCCAAGAAGAGCAAUAUACCAUGACCUUUACCCCAGUGUCCCGCCCCCAAUUCUGCAGACUAGCACAGAUGAUGAGCAGGAGGAGGAGGAGGAGGAAACCACUUCGGAUGUGGUUUCUGUUCCCCACACUCAAACAUCGGGUUCUGUUCCCAAAACCCAAGAAGAUGCAUGACCGGUGACUUCUGGCAUGGCCAGUGACAGUCAGGGAUGUGGCUCCAAACUGAGGACUCCUACCAUGCCCUAUGUCAUCUGGGCACAUGCCCCCGAACCUCGGACCCUAGCUCAAACUACAGCAGAGCGCUCAAAGGAUAUGCACUGCAGGCAGCGAUGAUCCUGAAACAGCAUGAUGGAGGCUUUCGUGGAGUCAUCACAAAGCAGAGUAUCAGCCGCAGAUGGCUGGCAAGACAAACUCUGGGAGUUGCUUCCUUGUGAUGAGGUCUUAAAGAACUGACUUGUGAACAACACAAUUGCCAUCCAGAAGAAGUUGUUAGACUGCAUGGGCCAGUUACUGGAGAUGGCUGCACAGUGCCGUGUGGACGCUGAAAGAGCACACAAGCUGAUAACUGAUGUCCUGUAGCACUUGCCAAAGUCCAUCAUUAAAAAGAAGGUACCAUCCCAGAAAGGGCAAAGUAGCUCUGCUCAGCUUGCCUCCGUCCAAGAGGUAGCCAGAAGCAUUGCAGCUGAGCCUGUUCCCCCUACUACAGUGGAGUCAGCAGAGGGGCAUACAAGUGCCAGCAGGGCCAGGCGGGCACCACUGUGAUUCAGGGAGCCAGGGCUAGUUCUGGGCGAUGGUGGACUAAAGGCAAAAAAGCCCAAGUAACCAACGGCUUCAACACUACUUGCUUUGUUGCUCCUUACAAUAAAACCUCAUGUUAGCUCUC